AUUGAACGCUGGCGGCAUGCCUUACACAUGCAAGUCGAACGGCAGCAUGAUCUAGCUUGCUAGAUUGAUGGCGAGUGGCGAACGGGUGAGUAAUACAUCGGAACGUGCCCUGUAGUGGGGGAUAACUAGUCGAAAGAUUAGCUAAUACCGCAUACGACCUGAGGGUGAAAGUGGGGGACCGCAAGGCCUCAUGCUAUAGGAGCGGCCGAUGUCUGAUUAGCUAGUUGGUGAGGUAAAGGCUCACCAAGGCGACGAUCAGUAGCUGGUCUGAGAGGACGAUCAGCCACACUGGGACUGAGACACGGCCCAGACUCCUACGGGAGGCAGCAGUGGGGAAGUUUGGACAAUGGGCGAAAGCCUGAUCCAGCAAUGCCGCGUGUGUGAAGAAGGCCUUCGGGUUGUAAAGCACUUUUGUCCGGAAAGAAAUGGCUCUGGUUAAUACCUGGGGUCGAUGACGGUACCGGAAGAAUAAGGACCGGCUAACUACGUG
RNAcentral lists this ribosomal RNA (490 nucleotides) under uncultured bacterium. RNAcentral describes it as "partial 16S ribosomal RNA". It matches the Rfam family "Bacterial small subunit ribosomal RNA", at positions 30 to 507 of the family's 1533-position model. The record is from RNAcentral.